Molecule: transfer RNA, 57 nt
Filed under: Bos taurus (domestic cattle)
Lineage: Eukaryota; Metazoa; Chordata; Mammalia; Artiodactyla; Bovidae
Also listed under: 3 other names
Source: Rfam by way of RNAcentral
UGGCUCAGACGAUAAAGCGUCUGCCUGCAGUGCAGGAGACCCGGGUUCGAUCCCUGG